GCGCGAAAACUUUACACUGUACGAAAGUGCGAUAAGGGAACUCCCAGUGCUCAGGCAAUGCCUGGGCUUUUGCCAAGUGUAAGUAGCUUGGCGAAUAAGUGGUGGGUAAGACGGGUGCCAGCCGCCGCGGUAACACCUGCGCCACAAGUGGGACUCGCGAUUAUUGGGCCUAAAGCGUUCGUAGCCGGAUGAGGCAGUCUUGGGUGAAAUCGUUGCGCUUAACAAAACGGCGUGCCUAAGAUACUUCUCAUCUAGGGACCGGGAGGAGUUAGGAGUAUUUCUGAGGGAGCGGUAAAAUGCUAUAAUCUCAGAAGGACUACCUGUGGCGAAGGCGCCUAACUAGAACGGGUUCGACGGUGAGGAACGAAAGCUAGGGGAGCAAAAGGG
This 387-nucleotide ribosomal RNA is filed under the name uncultured euryarchaeote. RNAcentral describes it as "bacterial SSU rRNA". It matches the Rfam family "Archaeal small subunit ribosomal RNA", at positions 339 to 727 of the family's 1478-position model. Lineage: Archaea; Methanobacteriati; Methanobacteriota. The record is from RNAcentral.